Molecule: unclassified non-coding RNA, 392 nt
Filed under: fungal sp.
Lineage: Eukaryota; Fungi
Description: partial internal transcribed spacer region
Rfam family: Eukaryotic small subunit ribosomal RNA (bases 1-46)
Source: RNAcentral
AAGUCGUAACAAGGUUUCCGUAGGUGAACCUGCGGAAGGAUCAUUAUCAUAACGUAUCCACGUAUAAACCAAACUUAAAACUCAAUAUGUAACAGUAUUGGGUUUUUGUGUGAAUUGUAAUGUUUUGCCUUUGAUAGUUAGUGAUUGCUAUCUAGUUUCUAUGAUUAAAGGAGACUUGAUAGACUUGGCUUUUUCGGAAGCCUAGCACUAAUUAUUAAAGUGUAUUUUUAAUCAUCUUAUUAACCAAUUGAACCGAUUAACUUUAAGUAGUUAUUCAUUUUAUUUUAUUGUGAACUGAAUUGUUUCUUACUCAGUAGUAAAAUAUUGAGAAGAAAUCAUAUUUACGAAACAUAAAUUAUGAACAACUCUUAGCAACGGAUAUCUUGGUUCUC